GAUGAAGAACGUAGCGAAAUGCGAUAAGUAAUGUGAAUUGCAGAAUUCAGUGAAUCAUCGAAUCUUUGAACGCACAUUGCGCCCACCAGUAUUCUGGCGGGCAUGCCUGUUCGAGCGUCAUUUCAACCAUCAAGCCCUGCUUGUGUUGGGGUCCUGCGGCUGCCCGCAGGCCCUGAAAACCAGUGGCGGGCUCGCUAGUCACACCGAGCGCAGUAGCACAUCUCGCUCAGGGCGUGCGGCGGGCUCCAGCCGUUAAAGCACCCACCUUUCGCAAGGUUGACCUCGGAUCAGGUAGGAAUACCCGCUGAACUUAAGCAUAUCAAUAAGCGGAGGA
This 334-nucleotide unclassified non-coding RNA is filed under the name soil metagenome. RNAcentral's name for it is "partial contains 5.8S ribosomal RNA, internal transcribed spacer 2, and large subunit ribosomal RNA". The stretch from base 1 to 120 matches the Rfam family "5.8S ribosomal RNA", at positions 35 to 154 of the family's 154-position model. The record is from RNAcentral.